UACGUAGGGGGCGAGCGUUGUCCGGAUUUAUUGGGCGUAAAGAGCGUGUAGGCGGCCAGGUAGGUCUGCUGUGAAAACUCGAGGCUCAACCUCGAGACGUCGACGGAAACCAUCUGGCUAGAGUCCGGAAGAGGAGAGUGGAAUUCCUGGUGUAGCGGUGAAAUGCGCAGAUAUCAGGAAGAACACCCGUGGCGAAGGCGGCCUCUCGUGGGACG
RNAcentral lists this ribosomal RNA (215 nucleotides) under uncultured bacterium. RNAcentral describes it as "partial 16S ribosomal RNA". It matches the Rfam family "Bacterial small subunit ribosomal RNA", at positions 524 to 739 of the family's 1533-position model. The record is from RNAcentral.